GACGAACGCUGGCGGCGUGCCUAAUACAUGCAAGUAGAACGCUGAAGGAGGAGCUUGCUUCUCUGGAUGAGUUGCGAACGGGUGAGUAACGCGUAGGUAACCUGCCUGGUAGCGGGGGAUAACUAUUGGAAACGAUAGCUAAUACCGCAUAACAGUAGAUAUCGCAUGAUAUCUACUUGAAAGGUGCAAUUGCAUCACUACCAGAUGGACCUGCGUUGUAUUAGCUAGUUGGUGAGGUAACGGCUCACCAAGGCGACGAUACAUAGCCGACCUGAGGGGGUGAUCGGCCACACUGGGACUGAGACACGGCCCAGACUCCUACGGGAGGCAGCAGUAGGGAAUCUUCGGCAAUGGACGGAAGUCUGACCGAGCAACGCCGCGUGAGUGAAGAAGGUUGUCGGAUCGUAAAGCUCUGUUGUAAGAGAAGAACGAGUGUGAGAGUGGAAAGUUCACACUGUGACGGUAUCUUACCAGAAAGGGACGGCUAACUACGUG
This 495-nucleotide ribosomal RNA is filed under the name uncultured bacterium. Its description in RNAcentral is "partial 16S ribosomal RNA". It matches the Rfam family "Bacterial small subunit ribosomal RNA", at positions 28 to 507 of the family's 1533-position model. The record is from RNAcentral.